CCUCCCACUAGAACAAUGUUUCCGACCUAGUUUCCUCAACUGCCGGUAACUUAUCUGAUCGACAUUCUCUCUCUUAAGUUUCCUCAACUGCCGAUGGUUACUAGGAUUUUUAAAGAUGAUACUGAGCUUGAAACGUAUAUAACCUCUGCGCAUUAUGGUGUCUGUAGCGAAGUGAGGAACUGUUCGAAUCCAAAACUAAAAGGAGCAGUGGUAUUCCAUGAACAAGGACCUCUUGUCUAUGAUUAUAGCAUCCGCUUGAACCACACAUGGGCAUUGGCAGGAUUCCCUAGUGUCAAGUCGAUCAUGGACACGAAUGGACCUUAUAUCAACGAUCUGGA
This is a long non-coding RNA of Raphanus sativus (radish), 338 nucleotides long. RefSeq lists it as uncharacterized. The transcript is spliced from 3 exons. NCBI's taxonomy places the organism in Eukaryota, Viridiplantae, Streptophyta, Magnoliopsida, Brassicales, Brassicaceae. The record is from RefSeq and is a predicted model, not a curated record.